RNA transcript from Macrobrachium nipponense, 3463 nucleotides. It is a transcript of the gene named glucosamine-6-phosphate isomerase-like, with no coding region annotated. Lineage: Eukaryota; Metazoa; Arthropoda; Malacostraca; Decapoda; Palaemonidae. The transcript has 8 exons. The record is from RefSeq and is a predicted model, not a curated record.
AUGCUCAAGUCGUCGGUCCUUUAUCAAUUUACAUGAAGAAGAACGCACAGUUGCUUAGGACUUUGAGGACGAAUCCGACCGACGACGUAAGCAGUAGCAUAUCACAACAGAAGUCCGUCUGCUGUAGACGUGUGAACGGUGUCUGCCAGAUUAAAAGAUGCGUUUAGUUAUUUUAGAUGACAGUGAGAAAGUGGCAGAAUGGGCUGCCAGAUAUGUAAUUAAAAGAAUAAAUGACUUCAAACCAGGACCUAAUAACUUCUUUGUUCUUGGGCUACCAACAGGUAGUACACCACUUGGCACAUACAAGAAACUAGUGAAGUACCACAAAGCUGGAAAAAUUUCAUUCAAAUAUGUCAAGACAUUCAACAUGGAUGAGUAUGUUGGGAUCCCAAGGGAUCAUGAACAAAGCUACCAUACAUUUAUGUGGGAGAACCUCUUCAAGCACAUUGACAUUGAUCCUGCCAAUGCCCACAUUCUGAAUGGGAAUUCUGAUGACCUGGAAAAGGAGUGUCAGGAAUAUGAACGUAAGAUCAAGGAAGCUGGGGGCAUUGAGCUCUUCAUGGGAGGAAUUGGCCCAGAUGGACAUAUCGCUUUCAAUGAGCCAGGUUCCAGUUUAGUGUCACGCACACGUGUGAAGACACUAAAUCAAGAAACAAUAACAGCUAAUGCAAGAUUCUUCAAUAACGAUAUUAAUUUGGUUCCCAAGCAAGCUCUAACUGUUGGAGUGGGCACUGUUAUGGAUGCCAGAGAGGUGAUGGUGCUGAUCACAGGCUCCCACAAAGCCUAUGCACUCCACAUGGCCAUUGAGGAAGGUGUCAACCACAUGUGGACUGUAUCUGCUUUCCAGCAGCAUCCCAGAACUAUUAUGUUAUGUGACGAAGAUGCAACACUUGAAUUGAAAGUAAAGACUGUCAAGUACUUUAAGAAUCUUCAUGACAUACAUUCUUGCCUGAUAGAAGAGGAGCCUUGAAAGGUGAUGGUUGCAUGACUGUUUGGCUUGGUGCUUGUUCACAUUAUGCCAAUUGACUUGCAGAAUGUACACUCAAAACUGAUUGAUGACCCCAUGAUGGCUCGGUUCUCAUAAUUUAAGACAAAACAAGAUAUUCAACUUUGCCAUUGCCUGUAUGAGUUUUGUAUUGGUGAAGGGAAUGCAGAUUUGGUGAAGGGUGUUCUUGUUACUUUGUUUUACUCAGUCACUGAAUUUAAAAAGAAUUAUUACCACUAAUGUAGUCAUUAUGGUGCUUUUAUUACCAAAUGGAAGAGUUUUUAGGUAUGGAUAAAGCUUUGUUUUGCUAUUCUUUUCAUUAAGUGGUACACUAGGUUUGGUAGUGAUGGAGUUUGGAAACUUGAAUGGAAGUGCAGUGAAUGGCUAUUGCUCUUGCACAGGUUUACCAUUGUGUUUAAAUGUCCCAUUGUUAUUAUUUUCAUUCAUAGAGGAUGGAUAUUUGUAAUAUAUGACAGUUCAUAUCUGUGUCCAGCGAGAACAGGAAAGUUGUGAGCACCCACAUCACUGAGGGAAUGAUUGUGAUAUAGCUACUUAAAUAUAAUGGAUCUCAUUAUUAUUUGCUAAAAUUGGAAUCUCUUGGGAAUAGUCUCAUAUCCCACAGUUCCUUGUACGAUUCACUGUGAAUCAUGCUACUAGGUCAAGUUUCUCAAAAUUUUGUAACUUCAGAUGUGCAAAUUACUUUUCAAGACUUCUAAUACUGUUCCAAAUGGAAGAUAAGCUUGCUAAAGGACUUGAAAUUUUGUAAAGAUGUUAAGUGUACUUAUUGCGGCAUUAGAACGGGUGGUGUUUCUCACUUGUUAGUGACUAGCUUUAGGUUUUAUUUGUGGCAUUAUUUGUAAUGGUCAUUCAUUAUAGUGCAAUAGUAUUCAUUAGUAUGGUUCAGUUUAUUCAUUAUAUUUAGUGAUGCAAUAUACUGUUUUUUGCAAGCCUUGGAAGAACCUGUUACAACUGCAGUACAGUCCCCCCAUAAACUAUCAAGAGUAAUCUUUACUAUGCAAAAAAAUUACCGUAUUUUAAGGAUUGAUAAACAACCAUGCUGAAACUUGAAUAUUCUAUCUGCAGUCUACCCAUGUAUCAUCAAGUUUCUCUGAUGUUUAAGUAGAUUAACCAGACCACCGAGCUAAUGCUCUCUGAGGGCUGACCAAAAAGGUAUGUCUGUACUAAUGAUAUGAUUACAUUUUUUAAAUUCUCAGUACUGCUGUGAGUUAAGCAAACUGCCAUACUGAGUGUAUUUUUUCAUCUUACUGCUACUAAGAGUCUUAACUAAUUAAAUAUCAAAAUUAUCUAAAUGUUUGCAAUAUCACCUCAUUCCUUUUCUCAGUUUCUUCAUUUUUCUUUAUUCAUUGUAUUUGUCUGUGAUAAUUGUAGUGAUAUUUGUGAUUAGUUGAAAAAUUUAAUCCAGUUCCCUUUAUUUAUGUAAAUUCUAUAUAUUUAAGAUUUGGAAACUUAAUUUUUUCAAGUUUUCUGGUUUGGAAGGGAUGGUAUGUAAUGAAUACUGGAUGUGGUUUGUUGUAUCUAGGCAGGUUGCUUGCCUUGCAAAAGUAGUAGGACUAGUAAGUUUGAUGUACUAUUUUUGUACAACGUAGUUAUACUGAAAAAUAUUCAUACUGAUAUUCUAGUCCUAAAACAUGAACUGUCCAAUGGUGUAGAUUUUUUAAGGUUUGUAUUGCCUCUUCCAAAAUGUUCUUGUACUGUAUGUAUAUUUUAAUGAAGCACAGUCCUUUAUGGCAUUUACUGAAGGAUGACUGGAAAAUUUUUGAGUAAUAAUGUAUGUGCAGUAUAGGUAUAUAUUUUUUAAUGCUUACAGAAUGUCAGCAUAAGAUUAGAAAAAUUAUUUGACAUAACUCAAGAUAUUUACAAAGAUUUUUUGUACUCUGUUUUGAACAUAAUUCCUCGUAAGAAAAGAAUACUUUAAGAGACAUUUAGGCGUUCAGGCACAAAAUACACAGGGCAGAGGGGAGAAAAGUUGUCUCCCAAUGAACGUACAUGUAAUAACUGAAAAAAAAUGUUCAUGAUAGUGAUUAUGAUGUACGUACUUAUAUCAGAUGUGAAUAGUCAAAAGAACUGAAAAUAAUACAGUUGACAUUAAGAGAUAGGAAUUUUAAAAUAAGUCAAUAGCUAACCUUAAUUGUUUCUGAGAUAUCACACUAUGCCCAUAAAAGACACUAAAUGUAUUUUCUCCUACAUAUUCCAGUUAUGAUUCUUAAUAUAGAAACCUGUAUGUACUGCAAAUAUCCUAUGCAGGAAAUACCACAUGGUUACAGUUUAUAUAACUAGAGGUGGUGUUUUCUUUCAGGCCUAUUAAGGUAAGUAUAUAUUCAUUUAUAAUUUUGAAAUCUAUAAUAUAUUCAAAGACAGAGGUUUCCAGCUGUGAUUAUGUAAAAAUUAUAUCCAAUUUUAAGACUCGGUUCUGCCGUACAUUUUCAGUUGCACAGUUAUAAUAAACAUAUUCCAUUC